GUCGGCUCCUAAGGCGAGGCUGAAAAGCGUAGUCGAUGGGAAACAGGUUAAUAUUCCUGUACUUGGUAAAGCUGCGAUGUGGGGACGGAGUAGGUUAGGUUAUCGCACUGUUGGAUAUGUGCGUUUAAGUUGGUAGGUGGGAAGUUUAGGCAAAUCCGGACUUCCUUAACACAGAGAGAUGAUGACGAGGCUCUACGGAGCUGAAGUAACUGAUACCACACUUCCAGGAAAAGCCACUAAGCGAAAGGCUUUACUAAACCGUACUGAAAACCGACACAGGUGGUCAGGUAGAGAAUACUCAGGCGCUUGAGAGAACUCGGGUGAAGGAACUAGGCAAAAUAGCACCGUAACUUCGGGAGAAGGUGCGCCGGCGUAGAUUGUAGUCCCUAGCGGGCGAAGGUUGAACCGGUCGAAGAUACCAGCUGGCUGCAACUGUUUAUUAAAAACACAGCACUCUGCAAACACGAAAGUGGACGUAUAGGGUGUGAUGCCUGCCCGGUGCUGGAAGGUUAAUUGAUGGUGUCAUCGCAAGAGAAGCACCUGAUCGAAGCCCCAGUAAACGGCGGCCGUAACUAUAACGGUCCUAAGGUAGCGAAAUUCCUUGUCGGGUAAGUUCCGACCUGCACGAAUGGCAUAAUGAUGGCCAGGCUGUCUCCACCCGAGACUCAGUGAAAUUGAAAUCGCCGUGAAGAUGCGGUGUACCCGCGGCUAGACGGAAAGACCCCGUGAACCUUUACUAUAGCUUGACACUGAACAUUGAAUUUUGAUGUGUAGGAUAGGUGGGAGCCUUUGAAGCAGUGACGCCAGUCAUUGUGGAGGCGACCUUGAAAUACCACCCUUUAACGUUUGAUGUUCUAACGAAGAUGACGAAACGUGGUCUCGGACAGUGUCUGGUGGGUAGUUUGACUGGGGCGGUCUCCUCCCAAAGCGUAACGGAGGAGCACGAAGGUUUGCUAAUCACGGUCGGACAUCGUGAGGUUAGUGCAAUGGUAUAAGCAAGCUUAACUGCGAGACAGACA
Molecule: ribosomal RNA, 1019 nt
Filed under: Haemophilus influenzae
Lineage: Bacteria; Pseudomonadati; Pseudomonadota; Gammaproteobacteria; Pasteurellales; Pasteurellaceae
Description: bacterial LSU rRNA
Rfam family: Bacterial large subunit ribosomal RNA
Source: RNAcentral